Molecule: ribosomal RNA, 253 nt
Filed under: uncultured bacterium
Lineage: Bacteria
Description: partial 16S ribosomal RNA
Rfam family: Bacterial small subunit ribosomal RNA
Source: RNAcentral
UACGAAGGGGACUAGCGUUGUUCGGAAUUACUGGGCGUAAAGCGCACGUAGGCGGAUUUGUAAGUCAGGGGUGAAAUCCCGGGGCUCAACCUCGGAACUGCCUUUGAUACUGCAAAUCUCGAGUCCGAUAGAGGUGGGUGGAAUUCCUAGUGUAGAGGUGAAAUUCGUAGAUAUUAGGAAGAACACCGGUGGCGAAGGCGGCCCACUGGAUCGGUACUGACGCUGAGGUGCGAAAGCGUGGGGAGCAAAUAGG